GUCUAUGGCCAUACCACCCUGAAUGCACCCAAUCUCGGAAGCUAGGCAGGGUCGGGCCUGGUUAGAACAUGGAUGGGAGAAAUUCCUAGCUAUAAAAA
Molecule: ribosomal RNA, 98 nt
Filed under: Nannospalax galili (Upper Galilee mountains blind mole rat)
Lineage: Eukaryota; Metazoa; Chordata; Mammalia; Rodentia; Spalacidae
Source: RNAcentral